UAGCCAGCUGCAGACACACGAAUACAGAACCAAUGAUGAGUUACUUUUUAUUCAUGGACUGAAAUUGUAACUUUUACAGUCAAUAGCUGUGUUAUGAUUCUGAAAAGGACAUGUCUUGUUUCAUGGAUAUAGAUUGAUGGAACUGCCAUACACUGGAGGUGCAGCCUGUUAACCACGCAGGGAUUAAAGGUUUUUCUUGAUGACUUAUAAGAGCUGACCUGUACACUGCAGGUUGCAGCAAUGACACCAUCCACGGGUGUUUCUGAGAAGGGAUCAAACAUCCUGUCUGACCGCCGCAUGAAGUCAGGCUUCAGCAGAUGCUCCACUUCUCGUGUGACCCCCUCCCUCUGACUUUGCACAUGCUCUGCUCCCAGCAAGCCAUAUGGUCUGAACCCUCUCGCCUCUGGCCAUGGGACAGCAGCUGUUUUACAACAGGCGUCACUCACUGAACAGCUUCUCCACAAUGGAUCAUCUGCGCUGAUCUUGUCUAUCACUCAUGUCCUCCUUUGCUCCUCACUAUCCCUCCUCAACACCGGGUGAUGCAGCAAGAGAUGAUUUUUUUCACCAACUGUCGCAGGGGAUGCUGUGCCCUCAGCUGACAUGGGGUGAUAGGUGGGAUCACAACCAUUCACUUGCACAGUCCCCAUAUUGCAUAAAUAUGGAGUUUUAGGAAUAGUUGUUUGUAUAUGUCCAGGUGUGACCCACCUAACUACAUGCAAAAUGACCCUUGUUCAGACCGGGUCUCAAUCCCAGGUCUUCUUGCUCCAAAGGCAGGUGUGCUAACCACUACACCAACUUUAUUUUUUUCCAUUUGCGCCCAAUAUUUGGUGUAUCAACCAGAUUCAGUCUUCAAAGAACAUUUGGCUCAAAUGAGACGAAAAAGGCAGCCAGACAGUUGGCGUAGUGGGUAGCACACUAGGCUUUGCAGCAAGGGUCAUUCUGCAUAUAGUUAGCAUAUUGGUAGCGGGUUACACCUGGACAGUUCGCCAGUCCAUCGCAGGGCUACAUAGAGACAAAUAACCAUUCACUCUCACAUAUUGCACUAACCCAACAACAUGUGAAAGGUAAUUUGUCACUAUGUGGUCCAGGUGUGCCUAUGUCAGCUGCGAUUGGCACACCUGCAGUGUGUGUGAUGGUCAAUCCAAGGUCCAACCCACCUUCUUGAUACUGUUGCUGUCUUUCCUCUUGCUGACAGCGUUACUCUGGGAAACAUUGUUGGCUUCUUUCUCACUAAUUGCCUCUGACAGACUCGGAGCCUCUGAAUUCAAGUCCUUAUCUUCUGCCUCUUUUUCUCCUGCACACAAACACAUUAUUAAUAGUGUCAUAUUUGUUGAAUUCUUCCUUUACUGUGUACAACUGAAGUUUUUUGACAUUUCAACACUUUUGAAAUGUUUAUUCUGUAAAUAUCAGUUACUAUGAAAUCUGAUUAAAAGCUAUGAGCGAC
Molecule: long non-coding RNA, 1444 nt
Organism: Solea senegalensis (Senegalese sole)
Lineage: Eukaryota; Metazoa; Chordata; Actinopteri; Pleuronectiformes; Soleidae
Exons: 5
Source: RefSeq, a predicted model, not a curated record